UCAGGAUGAACGCUAGCUACAGGCUUAACACAUGCAAGUCGAGGGGAAACGACAUCGAAAGCUUGCUUUUGAUGGGCGUCGACCGGCGCACGGGUGAGUAACGCGUAUCCAACCUGCCCAUCACUUGGGGAUAACCUUGCGAAAGUAAGACUAAUACCCAAUGAUAUCUCUAGAAGACAUCUGAAAGAGAUUAAAGAUUUAUCGGUGAUGGAUGGGGAUGCGUCUGAUUAGCUUGUUGGCGGGGUAACGGCCCACCAAGGCGACGAUCAGUAGGGGUUCUGAGAGGAAGGUCCCCCACAUUGGAACUGAGACACGGUCCAAACUCCUACGGGAGGCAGCAGUGAGGAAUAUUGGUCAAUGGACGAGAGUCUGAACCAGCCAAGUAGCGUGCAGGAUGACGGCCCUAUGGGUUGUAAACUGCUUUUAUAAGGGAAUAAAGUGAGAGUCGUGACUCUUUUUGCAUGUACCUUAUGAAUAAGGACCGGCUAAUUCCGUGCCAGCAGCCGCGGUAAUACGGAAGGUCCGGGCGUUAUCCGGAUUUAUUGGGUUUAAAGGGAGCGUAGGCCGGAGAUUAAGCGUGUUGUGAAAUGUAGACGCUCAACGUCUGCACUGCAGCGCGAACUGGUUUCCUUGGGUACGCACAAAGUGGGCGGAAUUCGUGGUGUAGCGGUGAAAUGCUUAGAUAUCACGAAGAACUCCGAUUGCGAAGGCAGCUCACUGGAGCGCAACUGACGCUGAAGCUCGAAAGUGCGGGUAUCGAACAGGAUUAGAUACCCUGGUAGUCCGCACGGUAAACGAUGGAUGCCCGCUGUUGGUCUGAAUAGGUCAGCGGCCAAGCGAAAGCAUUAAGCAUCCCACCUGGGGAGUACGCCGGCAACGGUGCAACUCAAAGGAAUUGACGG
RNAcentral lists this ribosomal RNA (902 nucleotides) under uncultured Bacteroidota bacterium. RNAcentral's name for it is "bacterial SSU rRNA". It matches the Rfam family "Bacterial small subunit ribosomal RNA", at positions 24 to 916 of the family's 1533-position model. The record is from RNAcentral. Lineage: Bacteria; Pseudomonadati; Bacteroidota.